UACAGAGGGGGCGAGCGUUGUUCGGAAUUACUGGGCGUAAAGGGCGCGUAGGCGGCCUCUUAAGUCGAACGUGAAAUCCCCGGGCUCAACCCGGGAACUGCGUCCGAUACUGGGGGGCUUGAAUCCGGGAGAGGGAUGUGGAAUUCCAGGUGUAGCGGUGAGAUGCGUAGAUAUCUGGAGGAACACCGGUGGCGAAGGCGGCAUCCUGGACCGGUAUUGACGCUGAGGCGCGAAAGCCAGGGGAGCAAACGGG
This 253-nucleotide ribosomal RNA is filed under the name uncultured bacterium. RNAcentral describes it as "partial 16S ribosomal RNA". It matches the Rfam family "Bacterial small subunit ribosomal RNA", at positions 524 to 776 of the family's 1533-position model. The record is from RNAcentral.